RNAcentral lists this ribosomal RNA (565 nucleotides) under uncultured bacterium. Its description in RNAcentral is "bacterial SSU rRNA". It matches the Rfam family "Bacterial small subunit ribosomal RNA", at positions 338 to 916 of the family's 1533-position model. The record is from RNAcentral.
CCUACGGGAGGCAGCAGUGGGGAAUAUUGGACAAUGGGCGAAAGCCUGAUCCAGCAAUGCCGCGUGAGUGAUGAAGGCCUUAGGGUUGUAAAGCUCUUUUACCAGGGAUGAUAAUGACAGUACCUGGAGAAUAAGCUCCGGCUAACUCCGUGCCAGCAGCCGCGGUAAUACGGAGGGAGCUAGCGUUGUUCGGAAUUACUGGGCGUAAAGCGUGCGUAGGCGGCGAUUCAAGUCAGAGGUGAAAGCCUGGAGCUCAACUCCAGAACUGCCUUUGAAACUAGAUUGCUAGAAUCAUGGAGAGGUGAGUGGAAUUCCGAGUGUAGAGGUGAAAUUCGUAGAUAUUCGGAAGAACACCAGUGGCGAAGGCGGCUCACUGGACAUGUAUUGACGCUGAGGCACGAAAGCGUGGGGAGCAAACAGGAUUAGAUACCCUGGUAGUCCACGCCGUAAACGAUGAUAACUAGCUGCCAGGGCUCAUAGAGCUUUGGUGGCGCAGCUAACGCAUUAAGUUAUCCGCCUGGGGAAGUACGGUCGCAAGNUUAAAACGUUCAAAUUGAAUUGACGG